This 217-nucleotide long non-coding RNA is filed under the name Mytilus galloprovincialis (Mediterranean mussel). The record is from RNAcentral. Lineage: Eukaryota; Metazoa; Mollusca; Bivalvia; Mytilida; Mytilidae.
UGGCGCGCGCGCUGUACCUAAAAUAAAAGAAAAACUUUCCAAACUAAACAUGAAACUUCUCCGGUAACAAUAAUAUAGACCCCAUACAGAAACAAACAAACAAACAAACAAACAAACACCCCCCAUUUCAAUUAAUUUUACAGGGGGAAAGACCCCCUACAAUUGCUUUUUUAAAGCAAUUGAUUUAUAUUUAUUUUUUUUUUCUCCGCCAACUUUU